RNAcentral lists this ribosomal RNA (363 nucleotides) under uncultured bacterium. Its description in RNAcentral is "bacterial SSU rRNA". It matches the Rfam family "Bacterial small subunit ribosomal RNA", at positions 132 to 507 of the family's 1533-position model. The record is from RNAcentral.
UUGACUUUGGGAUAACUUCAGGGAAACUGGGGCUAAUACCGGAUAGGAGCUCCUGCUGCAUGGUGGGGGUUGGAAAGUUUCGGCGGUUGGGGAUGGACUCGCGGCUUAUCAGCUUGUUGGUGGGGUAGUGGCUUACCAAGGCUUUGACGGGUAGCCGGCCUGAGAGGGUGACCGGCCACAUUGGGACUGAGAUACGGCCCAGACUCCUACGGGAGGAAGCAGUGGGGAAUAUUGCACAAUGGGUGGAAGCCUGAUGCAGCAACGCCGUGUGCGGGAUGACGGCCUUCGGGUUGUAAACCGCUUUCGCUCAUGACGAAGCUUCGUGUGACGGUAGUGGGUAAAGAAGCACCGGCUAACUACGUG